GCUCCUGUAGCCCAAUUGGAAGAGGCCGCUAUCUCAAAAAUAGUGUGUUGUGUGAGUUCGAGUCUCACCAGGAGUACCA
Molecule: transfer RNA, 79 nt
Filed under: Cyanobacteria bacterium UBA8803
Lineage: Bacteria; Bacillati; Cyanobacteriota
Also listed under: 1 other name
Description: tRNA-Leu
Rfam family: tRNA
About the family: Transfer RNA (tRNA) molecules are approximately 80 nucleotides in length. Their secondary structure includes four short double-helical elements and three loops (D, anti-codon, and T loops).
Source: RNAcentral